AGAGAGAGACAUGCGCGCAUAUCAAUAAGCGGAGGAAAAGAAACUAACAAGGAUUCCCUUAGUAACGGCGAGUGAAGCGGGAAGAGCUCAAAUUUGAAAUCUUCAAGGUUUCACCUUGACGAAUUGUAGUUUAAAGAAGUGUUUUCUGCUGAAGUUUUGGUAAAAGUUCUUUGGAAUAGGACAUCAUAGAGGGUGAGAAUCCCGUAUUUGACCAUUAUUUUCAGCUUUGUGAUACACUUUCAAAGAGUCGGAUUGUUUGGGAAUGCAGUCCAAAAUGGGUGGUAAAUUUCAUCUAAAGCUAAAUAUUGGCGAGAGACCGAUAGCGAACAAGUACCGUGAGGGAAAGAUGAAAAGAACUUUGAAAAGAGAGUUAAACAGUACGUGAAAUUGUCAAAAGGGAAGCGUUUGACACCAGUGUUGUUUUCUCGAAAAUCAAUUAAAAAUGGCUCGAUUUUGUAUUGCUUGAGACCUUAAAAGCUCACUGUACAUUUUUCGUGUCCUUUUUUAAUGCACUUUUCGUUUAACAAGUCAACAUCAGUUUCUUUUGUUGUAAAAGGGUCAUUGGAAGGUGGCUUUCUUUUCGGAGAAAGUGUUUAUAGCCUUUGGCCUCUGCAAUCGGAAGAGACUGAGGUCUGCAGCGUAGACUCUUCGGGGUUAGAUACAUUUGUGCUAAGUUAUAGCUUUUUAUAGACAACUUGUUGACUAUAAUUAGUCUUGUAGCUUACUCGCUUAUGCUAUUUUACCUACGCUUAGGAUGUUGAAGAUGUAGCACAUCAU
RNAcentral lists this ribosomal RNA (777 nucleotides) under uncultured Neocallimastigales. RNAcentral describes it as "partial large subunit ribosomal RNA". It matches the Rfam family "Eukaryotic large subunit ribosomal RNA", at positions 23 to 620 of the family's 3401-position model. Lineage: Eukaryota; Fungi; Neocallimastigomycota; Neocallimastigomycetes; Neocallimastigales. The record is from RNAcentral.